AACAAUGCAAAUUCAUACAAACAAUGUAUGAGAGUAUUUUUUCUUCUGAAACUCUGCUACUCUACUAGAAAGAAAAAAUGAUCUCUUAUUAAAUGUUGCUAAUGUGGUGGACCAUAAAGAUGAGAAAAUUAAUGCUGGGAGAUUUAAAAUGAAUUGCCCAAGAACACACAGUAUGGCAUUGGCAGAGCUGUGGGCAACUUCUGCUAUCCCUGUCUUGGAAUCCAGUCACCAUGUAAAAAAUGCCACUGCCCUGAGACCACCCACCACGCUGUUAAGAAGCCCAAGCAAGUGAAGUCACCGUAUACUAGAACAGUAAGAAGUCAUAUGAAGGGAGAGAAAGAGAGAGAGGGAGACGAAGGAUGAGGAGGAGGAAGAAGAACAAGAGGAGAAAAAGGUUAAAAGCAGAGGGAACAGGAGAGAAAGGAAGGGGAGGGGAGGGCAGGGAAGGGGAGGGGAGGACAAGAAGCACUGAGGUGCCAACCUAUGAGUUCAAAAGCCCUCGGACGGGCACGGUGGCUCAUGCCUGUAAUCCCAGCACUUUGGGAGGCCAAGGCGGGCAGAUCACGAAGUCAGGAGAUCAAGACCAUCCCGGCUAACACAGUGAAACCCCAUCUCUACCAAAAAAAUACAAAAAAAUUAGCUGGGCAUGGUGGCUGGCACCUGUAGUCCCAGCUAGUUGGGAGGCUGAGGCAGGAGAAUGGUGUGAACCCGGGAGGAGAAGCUUGCAGUGAGCGGAGUUGCACUCCAGCCUGGGCGACAGAGUGAGACACCAUCUCAAAAAAUAAAGAAAAUGAUAGUAAAAAAAAAAAAAAAGAAGAAGAAGAAGAAGAAGCCCUCAUCUUGGAAGUGCAUCCUCCACCCUAAGCUGUCCCCAGUGGGUAUCACAUGCAUCAGGGAAAAGCUGCCUAACCAAGCCCUUCAAAAUUUCUGACACACAAAAUUGUGAGAAAAGCCAGUUGGCGGUUUUGCAGUACUAAAAGUUACAGGAUAGCUUUUACAUAGAAAUAGAUAAUCAGGAAAAAUAAUGUGGAGAACAUCACUUAGGCAAGAAACUUCAGAAAAUGUUAAAAAUAUAGGUGGGAGGUCUUUUUCCUGGAGUAAGGAACAUGGAAGAAUAUCAUAGAAACAAAGCCUGUAUGGGGCUGAUUUAAGUGCCCUCAUGGAAAACUAAGUAGUAUGAACAUUGCUGUGCCCAUAACCUGGAUCCCUAAAUAUGGUGAAUGUGGCAGUGGUUAACAUGAUCUGAGCUAUGAGAGUUAACAGUCCAGACUGGAGAGCCAGACUGCCUCUGUUCUAACCCCGUUCUGCCUCAUACGAACUGUUAGCUUUAAGAAAAUUGCUUUGCCUCUAUGUUUCAGUAUAUCCAUCUAUAAAAUUGGCAUGAUAAUAUUAGCUACAGCAUAAGGUGUUAUGAAGAUUAAAUGAAUUAAUAUUUGCAUAGUGCUGAGGACAGUGACCAGCAUAUAGAUGCAUUAAGUUUCAGUUAAUUAUUCAAAAAUGAUUGAUUCAGACAUUUCAGGUUACAUAGAUAGGACUCAUUCACUUAUUUUCUGGGGGAGGUGCUUGGGGUAGCUUUUAUUUUUUAUUGUGAUAAUAUAUAUAACAUAAAACUUACCAUUGUAACCAUUUUAAAUUUAUAGGCCAGUGGCAUUAAGUAUAAUAUAUUUUUGUCAUUGUGCAAACAUACCACCGUUUAUCUCUAGAAUUUUUUUAAUUUUCCCAAACUGACACUCUAUACCCAUUAAACAAUAACCUCCCAUUUCCUCCACCCCUACGAACCCCUAUUCUACUUUCUGUCUUUGUGAAUUUGACUAUUCUAAGUACUACAUUCAAAUGCAAACAGACAGUAUUCGCCCCUUUGUGCCUGGAUUAUUUCACUUAGCAUAACAUUUUCAAGGUUCAUCAUGAUGUAGCAUGUGUCAGAAUUUCUUUCCUUUUUAAGGACACAGGAAGGGGAAUAUCACACUCUGGGGACUGUUGUGGGGUGGGGGGAGGGGGGAGGGAUAGCAUUGGGAGAUAUACCUAAUGCUAGAUGACGAGUUAGUGGGUGCAGCGCACCAGCAUGGCACAUGUAUACAUAUGUAACUAUCCUGCACAAUGUGCACAUGUACCCUAAAACUUAAAGUAUAAUAAAAAAAAAAAAAACAGGUUGGACAAUCAAUAAACUCCA
Gorilla gorilla gorilla (western lowland gorilla) is the source of this 2170-nucleotide long non-coding RNA. RefSeq lists it as uncharacterized. The transcript has 3 exons. Lineage: Eukaryota; Metazoa; Chordata; Mammalia; Primates; Hominidae. The record is from RefSeq and is a predicted model, not a curated record.